GAGUGAACUUGACGCUGACGAGUGGCGGACGGGUGAGUAAUACUUAGGAAUCUACCCAGUAGUGGGGGACAACUUCCGGAAACGGGAGCUAAUACCGCAUACACCCUAAGGGGAAAAGUGGAGGAUCUUCGGACUUCACGCUAUUGGAUGAGCCUAAGUCGGAUUAGCUUGUUGGUGAGGUAAAGGCUCACCAAGGCAACGAUCCGUAGCUGGUCUGAGAGGACGAUCAGCCACACUGGGACUGAGACACGGCCCAGACUCCUACGGGAGGCAGCAGUGGGGAAUAUUGGACAAUGGGCGCAAGCCUGAUCCAGCAAUACCGCGUGUGUGAAGAAGGCCUGCGGGUUGUAAAGCACUUUCAGUAGAGAAGAAAAGCUUAGAGUUAAUACCUCUGAGUCUUGACGUAACCUACAGAAGAAGCACCGGCUAGCUCCGUGCCAGCAGCCGCGGUAAUACGGGGGGUGCAAGCGUUAAUCGGAAUUACUGGGCGUAAAGCGCGCGUAGGCGGUUUGAUCAGUCGGAUGUGAAAGCCCUGGGCUCAACCUGGGAAUGGCAUCCGAUACUGUCAAGCUAGAAUGUGGGAGAGGCAAGUGGAAUUUCCGGUGUAGCGGUGAAAUGCGUAGAGAUCGGAAGGAACACCAGUGGCGAAGGCGGCUUGCUGGCCCAACAUUGACGCUGAGGUGCGAAAGCGUGGGGAGCGAACAGGAUUAGAUACCCUGGUAGUCCACGCCGUAAACGAUGAGAACUAGAUGUCGGAAGGGUUUAGCCUUUCGGUGUCGCAGCUAACGCGUUAAGUUCUCCGCCUGGGGAGUACGGUCGCAAGACUAAAACUCAAAGGAAUUGACGGGGACCCGCACAAGCGGUGG
This 866-nucleotide ribosomal RNA is filed under the name uncultured Gammaproteobacteria bacterium. Its description in RNAcentral is "bacterial SSU rRNA". It matches the Rfam family "Bacterial small subunit ribosomal RNA", at positions 76 to 935 of the family's 1533-position model. The record is from RNAcentral. Lineage: Bacteria; Pseudomonadati; Pseudomonadota; Gammaproteobacteria.